This 382-nucleotide ribosomal RNA is filed under the name Mammaliicoccus lentus. Its description in RNAcentral is "bacterial SSU rRNA". It matches the Rfam family "Bacterial small subunit ribosomal RNA", at positions 553 to 929 of the family's 1533-position model. Lineage: Bacteria; Bacillati; Bacillota; Bacilli; Caryophanales; Staphylococcaceae. The record is from RNAcentral.
AUUGGGCGUAAAGCGCGCGUAGGCGGUUUCUUAAGUCUGAUGUGAAAGCUCCUUCGGCUCAACCGUGGAGGGUCAUUGGAAACUGGGGAACUUGAGUGCAGAAGAGGAGAGUGGAAUUCCAUGUGUAGCGGUGAAAUGCGCAGAGAUAUGGAGGAACACCAGUGGCGAAGGCGGCUCUCUGGUCUGUAACUGACGCUGAUGUGCGAAAGCGUGGGGAUCAAACAGGAUUAGAUACCCUGGUAGUCCACGCCGUAAACGAUGAGUGCUAAGUGUUAGGGGGUUUCCGCCCCUUAGUGCUGCAGCUAACGCAUUAAGCACUCCGCCUGGGGAGUACGACCGCGAGGUUGAAACUCAAAGGGAAUUGACGGGGGACCCGCACAAG